Molecule: ribosomal RNA, 282 nt
Filed under: uncultured bacterium
Lineage: Bacteria
Description: partial 16S ribosomal RNA
Rfam family: Bacterial small subunit ribosomal RNA
Source: RNAcentral
UGGGGGAUAUUGCACAAUGGGCGCAAGCCUGAUGCAGCCAUGCCGCGUGUGUGAAGAAGGCCUUCGGGUUGUAAAGCACUUUCAGCGAGGAGGAAGGGUUCAGUGUUAAUAGCACUGUUCGUUGACGUUACUCGCAGAAGAAGCACCGGCUAACUCCGUGCCAGCAGCCGCGGUAAUACGGAGGGUGCAAGCGUUAAUCGGAAUUACUGGGCGUAAAGCGCACGCAGGCGGUUUGUUAAGUCAGAUGUGAAAUCCCCGCGCUUAACGUGGAACUGCAUUUGA